GAUGAACGCUGGCGGCGUGCUUAACACAUGCGAGUCGAACGGAAAGGCCCAAGCUUGCUUGGGUACUCGAGUGGCGAACGGGUGAGUAACACGUGGGUGAUCUGCCCUGCACUUCGGGAUAAGCCUGGGAAACUGGGUCUAAUACCGGAUAGGACCACAUUUUGGAUGGUGUGGUGGAAAGUUUUUCGGUGUGGGAUGAGCUCGCGGCCUAUCAGCUUGUUGGUGGGGUAAUGGCCUACCAAGGCGUCGACGGGUAGCCGGCCUGAGAGGGUGUACGGCCACAUUGGGACUGAGAUACGGCCCAGACUCCUACGGGAGGCAGCAGUGGGGAAUAUUGCACAAUGGGCGCAAGCCUGAUGCAGCGACGCCGCGUGGGGGAUGACGGCCUUCGGGUUGUAAACUCCUUUCGCUAGGGACGAAGCGCAAGUGACGGUACCUGGAGAAGAAGCACCGGCUAACUACGUG
Molecule: ribosomal RNA, 465 nt
Filed under: uncultured bacterium
Lineage: Bacteria
Description: partial 16S ribosomal RNA
Rfam family: Bacterial small subunit ribosomal RNA
Source: RNAcentral